Acinonyx jubatus (cheetah) is the source of this 546-nucleotide long non-coding RNA. RefSeq lists it as uncharacterized. The record is from RefSeq and is a predicted model, not a curated record. The transcript is spliced from 3 exons. Lineage: Eukaryota; Metazoa; Chordata; Mammalia; Carnivora; Felidae.
UGUCGCAGCACUUCUAGGAGCCUCGUGGGAAGAGCCACAUCCCCCGGGAGCCGUGGUGACCUCCUAACCCCAGGAACUGUCAACUGGGCCUAGUGUGCAAACGGGCUCUUCACAGAUGACCAAGACACACGUCGUGAUCACGAGAUUCUCAUAACUCGCGCGCGCACAGAGAGCCGAAGAUCGGAAACAUCUCGUUGGAGAGGAGAGGAAGAGGGCGGAGUUUAACAGAGGCGUCAGGGGUCAGGCCACGCGCGACCGAAAAGCAGAGAAGCACGGCGCAUGCGAGGAGGCGGGAGGCCCGGCGUAGGCUCGCCCAGCGAGGUGAGGCCCACGCAUCACAGAGAGGGGCACACGCGGCAUGUGGGGAGGCCCCCAGCCUCCCGGGGACGGCGUGGCCCUACAACGCACACCCCGAGAGCAGUUUGGAACCAGUGCGAGAAAACGGUGACCAACACGAAAAGCUUUAUCUACCAAGGAAUUCAAAGUGCGUAACUGUGGGAGAACUGGUCUGACUCAAACCGCCCGCGACACAGACUGUCGAAGAAA